CCUAAUUCUUUAGUUAUAAAUACCCCCUUCUCUUUACUUGUAAGAACCAACCUAGAUACCUACUUUUUUUAACCUAGUCAUUUUCCAUAGCUAGUAUGUUAGAUAAAUUUACAUUUUGCUAGUCCCAAUUUCUUUUCCAAGUUUGUAACCACAUUUCAUUUUAAUGCAAAUUUUAUUUAGAUCUACUUUGUUUUGUUCCCUUUAUAAUUUUUUCUAGCACUCCUUUCUACCCCUCUUUGAAUCUCAAUAUUAAAGAGGGUUUGAUUGGUUAGAUUAGUGUGUUAAAAGCUUCUUUACUCAUAGAUUUAAUUUUCGAAGUGGAUUAAGAUCUAGCAUAAAAAAUAAUUUGUGCGGGGUUUUAAUUCCUUAAGUCCAAGAAACACACGAUUAGCAGCCUUCUGUUUUCUUUCUCAAAGUAGCUUCCUCUGUUUUUAAUUACAACACACGCAUUCCCCUGUUCUGUUUAUAUUCUGUCGAGUUACCACUGAGUCAACUCGCCCGCGUUCACCGAGUCACAGCGUUUUCUGAGUUCUUGCUUUGUUAAAUCACUGAGUUGGGUUUGUUGUUUUACCGAGUCAUCAUCCGAGUAUAACUGAGUUUUUAGUCGAUUGUUGUUUCUAUUUUUAUUGAGUCGCAGCGAGUUCUGGGUUUUGUUUGGAGUUGCUUGCUGAGUCGAUUUGUAAAGCAUAGUACUGAGUUCAUGUUUAAUCAGUCUGUUAGCUUUGCUUCUUUCGUUUUUAUUUGUGAUUUUGCUGCUAUGUUUUCGAGUUCAUUUCUGUUUAUUUUGAGUCCGAGUUGUGAGUCUUGUCUUUUUGGUUCUUGAAUUUGUAGCCCCGAGUACUGGUUUAAAAUCGAGUGGUGACUUGCCUGAGUUUAGUGAUUUGUGGGUUGCUGAGUUUUCCUUGUGUAGUUUAGUUUCUGUUUAUUAAUUCACCGAAUGUCUGCUGUAUUAGUUUGGUUUAGUGUUUGCUUUGAUUCUUUUAGAAGCAGAGUAAUAGUCUAAGUCAUAGUAGCUGAGUUGGUCUUCGAGUCUGUCCGUUUUCAGAGUCGAGUCCUUUAGUUAUGCCCGAGUUUCACUGAGUCGAUGCUGGUUGUUUUUUUUCGAUGUUUUCUUUUAUUGUUUUUGUUUUUGUUUCUUUUAUAUAUUUGAAUCACUUUGUU
This 1161-nucleotide long non-coding RNA is filed under the name Daucus carota (carrot). RNAcentral's name for it is "long non-coding RNA (DCAR_LNC006978)". Lineage: Eukaryota; Viridiplantae; Streptophyta; Magnoliopsida; Apiales; Apiaceae. The record is from RNAcentral.